AACGAACGCGUGCGGCGUGCUUAACACAUGCAAGUCGAACGGGGUAUGCUUUCGGGCAUAUCUAGUGGCGGACGGGUGAGUAACGCGUGGGUCAUCUGCCUAUAGGUGGGGGAUAACUUCCUUAAAGGGGAGCUAAUACCGCAUAGUGCCUUUGGGUUUAAAGGAGUCUUUGACUUCGCCUGUAGAUGAGCCUGCGUGCCAUUAGGUAGUUGGUGGGGUAAAGGCCUACCAAGCCAUCGAUGGCUAGCUGGUCUGAGAGGAUGAUCAGCCACACUGGGACUGAGACACGGCCCAGACUCCUACGGGAGGCAGCAGUGGGGAAUAUUGGACAAUGGGGGCAACCCUGAUCCAGCACCGCCGCGUGUGUGAAGAAGGCCUUCGGGUCGUAAAGCACUGUUGAGUGGGAGGAAGCAGCUUUUUUGGUGUUUGACGGUACCACUUUAGAAAGCACCGGCUAACUCCGUGCCAGCCGCCGCGGUAAUU
RNAcentral lists this ribosomal RNA (483 nucleotides) under uncultured bacterium. RNAcentral describes it as "bacterial SSU rRNA". It matches the Rfam family "Bacterial small subunit ribosomal RNA", at positions 29 to 525 of the family's 1533-position model. The record is from RNAcentral.